This is a long non-coding RNA of Orcinus orca (killer whale), 538 nucleotides long. RefSeq lists it as uncharacterized. The record is from RefSeq and is a predicted model, not a curated record. NCBI's taxonomy places the organism in Eukaryota, Metazoa, Chordata, Mammalia, Artiodactyla, Delphinidae. The transcript is spliced from 4 exons.
UGAAACCUCACGAGAAGUAACCAAUCCGGGCGCGUGCCAGUUGUGGUCAAUGGCCGCCCUUUCCAGUUAACUAGGUCGACCCCUUUUAAGCCUGGGUCUCAGCAUCGCUCCGCGGAGAAGCGCCCGCUGCGCAGGCUGGCUCUUUUCGGCCGCAGAAGUUCCGGGUCCGCCUCUGGCCGCUCCGCAGUUUUAACUGCCUUCGCCUUUACUUUGCAGCCACCAGAGUUACCGCCACCACCGGUUUUCGUUUGUUCAGGAAAUCAGCGGGCUCCCUCACUGUUACUUUCUUCCUGCACGUGUAUUCUAGAUCGGACCGCUAGUUGUCCAGCAGAUCCCGAACAGCGUGGGCAGAAAGGUUUUGAGGGAGGAUUCUUCUAAAAGGUUGGUUCCAGCAUCUACUGUUGCUACCGCUACUAGUUCAAGCACCAUGCUGUUUACCUCAUUUUCAAAUGUUUCUACCUCCACUGCUGCUACUGGGCUCUCAUAUACAGUUCCAUUCCUGAGACAUGACUGAGAUUCUGGAAACCUUUUGAUAUAU